GAGGCGGGGAGGCGGCAGCGGUUCGUUGGCUGGUGUGGGCAUAUAACCUACUUGUAAGACAAGUUCUUGUCUGCGGGCCUCUGCCUGGCCCUAAAUAUGUAUGUUCUCGAAUCUUAGUGACCAAGUGAUCGCCAAGGCCGCAUCAGACAAGGGUGGGGGGGUCGGUGCCUUUGUCUACAACGGAAGAUGGCGACGGGCAGGGUGUGAGAAAAUGGCCGCCAGGGUCACAUGUUUUGCUGAGUAUACCCACCUGAAAUGACUAGGAGAGUGAACUCCCUGAGACUAGGAGCCAUCUAUCUUCGCGCCCUCAGCAGGACCCAGCACAAGACUGGUACAAGGCACGCUUCAGCAAAUGUUUGUUAAACGGGUUUUCUGUAUUCUUACUGGGUUUUUGUUGCUGUUGUUGUUCAUUUGAUCUGUCCUGGAAUGAGAAAGUAUUAAACAAGACUUCCAGUUCUAUGUUAAACAGUAGUUGGUGAGGGUAAGUAUCUAGUCUUAUUCUUAAUCUUCAAGGAAAUGCAUCUUAAGUUUCUCCAUUUUCUGCAAAGUAUGCUGUAAAAUUUUGGUAUGUAACCUUCACCAAGUUAAGAAAUUUGCCUUCUAUUCAUAUUUUUUAAAGAGUUUUCAUCGUAAGUAGGCAUGUAACAUAAUUUUCGUAUAUUAAUUGAGAUACUCAUAUGAUUAUUAUCCCUUAGUCUAUUCAUGUGGUAAAUUACAUUGAUAGAUUUUUCUGAGUUUGAAUGCAUUCUCCUUGCAUUCUUGGAAUUAACUCCAUUUGAUUGUGAUGUAUUUUUUAAAUACUGUUGGAUUCGAUUAGCUAAUAUUUAAUUUACGAUUUAUGCAUCUAUAUUCAUAAGUGAAAUGAGUCUAUAAUUUUCUUUAAUUGUCCUUAUCUGUUUUUAAAAUCAAGACUUCAAGAUUUUACUAGACAAAUAAAAUGAGCUAGGCAGCUUUCUCUCCUUUUCUAUUUUCUGGAAUAACUUGUAUAAGAAGAGAAGUAACUCCUGAGAGUCCCGCACACUAUACCUGUAAAUCCAUCUGGGCCUGGAUUUGGGGGGAAGCGAUGUCCUUACCUACCAUUUCAGUUUCAUUAAUGCCUAGUGGUCUAUUCACGUUCUCUACUUCCUAUGCCAUUUUUAUCACUUUAUAUUUUUCUAGGAAAAAAACUUUAUCUAGAUGUUUUCAAUUAUUUCUGUCUAGUACCUAGCAGUCAGGUUUCUGGCUUGAGUACUUGGUGGUGCCUUCACAGAGAGGGGGGCACAAGAGGAGCGGCAUGUCUGUUAUUUGGGGGCCAGAGGAAGUUUGGCUACCUCUACACUUUCAGCAAAGCAAUGGCUAUAUGUGAUUCUCUGUUGCUUUGGAUAUUUGUGAUUAUGUAUGAAUGUGCACACUUCUAUAAAGGUGUGUUUUUUAUACAUGAUGCUCUGGUGUGUUUCUGUUUAUAUGAAAAUGUCAGGCUGAAAAAGAACAAUUUUUCUAUGUAAUUAUUUUUCUGUAUCUGUUUGCAUGGGUCCGUGAGCUGUGAUGGGGGUAUUUCCAUGGUUCUCUCAAUGUCCCUGUGUACAUCAGCAUCUCUGCCAGCUGGUUAUUACAAGAUAUUGAAUACAGUUCCCUGUGCUAUAGUAGGUCCUUGUUAUUUAUUUUUAGGAGCUAAUAUUUUUGAGCAUUUCUUAUAUUUGAGGCAUGGUUCUAUAAGCUGUACAUGUGUUAGUUAAUUUAAUGCUCUUGGUAACACUGAAGCAGGUACUGUUAUCAGCCCUGUUUUACAGAUGAGGACACUGAGGCACAGCAAGUCAGCAGCACAACUAGGAUUGGAAUCCAAACAAUCUAACACCAGAGGCCAUACUCUUGACUACUCUGUCAGUGACAGAGAGAUACAGACAGACAGGGAUCUGGGGACAAGAUGGCAAACAGAUGAAACACACAUAGGGACAGAAAGAUGGAAACAAGAGACAGGCACAUGAGGAGAGCCACCCAGCAAGAGAGAUGGUAACAGAGGUAGAAAAGGGGUGAUAGAUGAGGAGAGACUCAAAGAGGGAAACAAGGGCAAGAAGACCAACAUAGGGGUAUGUGUGUGAGAGAGAAACAAAGAGAAUGUAAAUGUUAGUUGUGAGGGGGUGGGAGGCUGGGGUGAAGACAGAGACUGGAACAGAAAGGUGAGAAUAGAAAUAGAGAAAGAUAGGUGGGGAACAGAGACGGAUGAAUGCAGCAACAUAAAUACAAAGAUGAGAACUGGGAGACAGGCAGAGAUAAGAUAAAUAGGUACAGAGUGUUGGAGACAGGGGGGUGGACAGAAAAGAGGCCAAGGAGCCAAAGGAAAUUGAAAGAGAAGCAGAAAAGACAGAAACUUUGGAACACAGAUUCAGAAACAGAUGAGGUAGAGUAAUAUGGUAUUAUAUAUGUGAGGAUGGAGACACAGACCAAGAGGAGAACCAUAAGUUAGAUGGGGACAGGAUGGAGACAAGGCAACCCCCAACAGAGGCAAUGGAGAGAGAGUGAGAGCAAGAGCAAGAAGGGGAGAGAUUGAGAGAGAAUAGGAGAGAUAGGAAAGAGAAACCACCAGAGAGAUGUAAACAGAAAGACAACAGAGAGCAAAAUAAGAGAGAUGGGAGACAUCUGAAAGGUGGUGACAGUGAUGGUGAACUGGGGUGACAGUAAAAAAUAAAAGAAAUAGAGGCACAGAAUGAAAUAAUUUUGAUUCAACAACCACUCACAAGUCUUGGAUAUAUCAGGGCUGGCACUGGGCUGUGUGGUACCCAAUAGGCUGUGAGCUCAGGAAGGCAGGGCCUGGGCCUUUGUUAUGCAAUACUGUAUCCUCCACCUACAGUAUACUCCCAAUCAUGUGGAGGGCUACCAUUUAUUAAACAUUAGGUACUGGGGACUGUGCAUGCGUUUCAUGGAUUAUGUUAUUGAAUCCUCACAACUCUGAUGUAGUAGGUAUUAUUAUCAUCCCCAGUUUACAGAUGGGGAAACUGAGACUUAGAGCAAUGAGUAACUUACCCAGGGUCACACAGAGGAGCUAGGAGUGAAGCCCCAGCCUGGACCAAUGGUAGAGUAUGUCAUGAACCAAGGAUUAGGAUGAACCCUCUUCUUUCUGUACACCCAAGGUGCAAAAAAUCAAAUUCCAGUCUGCCUGCCUCCAAGGCCUACAUGUUUGACCACCAUACCACACUGCUCCAGUGAAGACUCACUCACAGACUGAUGGAAGACUGCUGAACCAAGAAAAAUGAUCUUAUCUCAUGCUCCAGUGACAAAAUAAAAGCCAUCAGACAUGGGAGAAUUGUUCCAGGACCUUCAUCUUCCCACCACUGAAUCUCUAAACCUCCCAGUAUCUGUAUUCAUCUUUUGUUUCAUUCCUUCCUGUUACAAUGAAGGGCCUGAGGACCUCUCCUCUCUGAGGCCCAGUACCUCAGAUCCCAGCUCCUCCUUUCCCUUCCAUUAUUCCCUUUCUCUUCUGUGUUGCCAUCCAGUCCCUCUCUAUGGUCUCUGGGUCUUUCCCAGCAGCAAACAAGCAUAGUCUAGUAUCUCCCAUCUUAGAAAAAUCAUUCUUUGCCCCUCCUCCUACCAUCACCUUAGCUCUCUGGGCUCUGUUCCCAUUCACAGCCAUGUUUCACAAGGAAAUCGCCUACACACCUAGCUCCACUUCAGCAGGAUCGGGGGCAGUGUUUUAUUCCCUCUGACCUCAGGGAGGGUCCUGUAACAAUCUACCCUCCCACCAGCACUCUAUCCAAUUAUUCCUGCUUUUUAAAUUUUAUUUAUUUUUCAUGAUAAUACAUUAUAAAUUUUAUAAUAUACAUAUCUGUACAGUUCAAAUAAAUUAUAAAACAAAUACCUAUGUACCUGUACCCAUCACCCAGCUUCAAAAACAAAUCAUUUCUGAAUGACAAAACCCGCCAUGUAGCCCUCCCCAGUCACAUCUCCUUCCCCUCCCUGAGGUAACCAGUGUCAUUUUUCAUGCCUUGCUUUUUUGUAUGGUUUUACAACAUAUUACUGCAUCCAUAUAUUGUAUAAUUUUGACUGUUGUUCAACUUUACAUAAACAUAUUCUUUCAUGACUUUUUUGAAUCAG
This is a long non-coding RNA of Aethalodelphis obliquidens (Pacific white-sided dolphin), 4068 nucleotides long. RefSeq lists it as uncharacterized. The transcript has 6 exons. NCBI's taxonomy places the organism in Eukaryota, Metazoa, Chordata, Mammalia, Artiodactyla, Delphinidae. The record is from RefSeq and is a predicted model, not a curated record.